Molecule: ribosomal RNA, 484 nt
Filed under: uncultured bacterium
Lineage: Bacteria
Description: partial 16S ribosomal RNA
Rfam family: Bacterial small subunit ribosomal RNA
Source: RNAcentral
AUUGAACGCUAGCGGGAUGCUUUACACAUGCAAGUCGAACGGCAGCGCGGACUUCGGUCUGGCGGCGAGUGGCGAACGGGUGAGUAAUGUAUCGGAACGUGCCCAGUAGCGGGGGAUAACUACGCGAAAGCGUAGCUAAUACCGCAUACGCCCUACGGGGGAAAGCAGGGGAUCGUAAGACCUUGCACUAUUGGAGCGGCCGAUAUCGGAUUAGCUAGUUGGUGAGGUAACGGCUCACCAAGGCGACGAUCCGUAGCUGGUUUGAGAGGACGACCAGCCACACUGGGACUGAGACACGGCCCAGACUCCUACGGGAGGCAGCAGUGGGGAAUUUUGGACAAUGGGGGCAACCCUGAUACAGCCAUCCCGCGUGUGCGAUGAAGGACUUCGGGUUGUAAAGCACUUUUGGCAGGAAAGAAACGUCGCGGGCUAAUACCCCGUGGAACUGACGGUACCUGCAGAAUAAGCACCGGCUAACUACGUG